UACGGAGGGGGCUAGCGUUGUUCGGAAUUACUGGGCGUAAAGGGCGCGUAGGCGGUUUAUCAAGUGAGAUGUGAAAUCCCCGGGCUUAACCUGGGAACUGCAUCUUAAACUGGUAAGCUGGAGUACUGUAGAGGACAGUGGAAUUUCCGGUGUAGCGGUGAAAUGCGUAGAGAUCGGAAGGAACAUCAGUGGCGAAGGCGACUGUCUGGACAGAUACUGACGCUGAGGCGCGAAAGCGUGGGGAGCAAACAGG
This 253-nucleotide ribosomal RNA is filed under the name uncultured bacterium. RNAcentral describes it as "partial 16S ribosomal RNA". It matches the Rfam family "Bacterial small subunit ribosomal RNA", at positions 524 to 776 of the family's 1533-position model. The record is from RNAcentral.